CACGGGGGGAGCAAGCGUUGUUCGGAUUUAUUGGGCGUAAAGGGCGUCUAGGCGGUAUGGCAAGUUGAAUGUGAAAUCCCUUGGCUUAACCGAGGAAGUGCAUCCAAAACUGCCAAACUUGAGUAUGGUAGAAGUGAGCGGAAUUCUCAGUGUAGCGGUGGAAUGCGUAGAUAUUGAGAAGAACACCAGUGGCGAAGGCGGCUCACUAGAUCAAUACUGACGCUGAAGCGCGAAAGCCAGGGGAGCGAACGGGAUUAGAUACCCCCGUA
Molecule: ribosomal RNA, 269 nt
Filed under: uncultured prokaryote
Description: partial 16S ribosomal RNA
Rfam family: Bacterial small subunit ribosomal RNA
Source: RNAcentral